AGUGAACGCUGGCGGUAGGCCUAGCACAUGCAAGUCGAACGGCAGCACAGUAAGAGCUUGCUCUUACGGGUGGCGAGUGGCGGACGGGUGAGGAAUACAUCGGAAUCUACUUUUUCGUGGGGGAUAACGUAGGGAAACUUACGCUAAUACCGCAUACGACCUACGGGUGAAAGCAGGGGAUCUUCGGACCUUGCGCGAUUGAAUGAGCCGAUGUCGGAUUAGCUAGUUGGCGGGGUAAAGGCCCACCAAGGCGACGAUCCGUAGCUGGUCUGAGAGGAUGAUCAGCCACACUGGAACUGAGACACGGUCCAGACUCCUACGGGAGGCAGCAGUGGGGAAUAUUGGACAAUGGGCGCAAGCCUGAUCCAGCCAUACCGCGUGGGUGAAGAAGGCCUUCGGGUUGUAAAGCCCUUUUGUUGGGAAAGAAAAGCAGCAGGUUAAUACCCCGCUGUUCUGACGGUACCCAAAAAAUAAGCACCGGCUAACUUCGUG
This 492-nucleotide ribosomal RNA is filed under the name uncultured bacterium. Its description in RNAcentral is "partial 16S ribosomal RNA". It matches the Rfam family "Bacterial small subunit ribosomal RNA", at positions 29 to 507 of the family's 1533-position model. The record is from RNAcentral.